CAGAACGUCGUGAGACAGUUCGGUCCCUAUCCGGCGCGGGCGGAGGAUAUUUGAGAGGAGCUGCCCCUAGUACGAGAGGACCGGGGUGGACGGACCACUGGUGUAUCAGCUGUCGACCAACGGCAUAGCUGAGUAGCCAAGUCUGGACGGGAUAAACGCUGAAGGCAUCUAAGCGUGAAGCCCCCCUCAAGAUGAGAUAUCCCCUCCUUCAAGGAGAUAAGAUCCCUUAAAGACGAUAAGGUAGAUAGGUUCAAGGUGUAAGUGCGGUAACGCAUUCAGCUGAUGAAUACUAAUAGAUCGAAGGUUUAUUCU
RNAcentral lists this ribosomal RNA (312 nucleotides) under Pseudobutyrivibrio xylanivorans. Its description in RNAcentral is "bacterial LSU rRNA". It matches the Rfam family "Bacterial large subunit ribosomal RNA", at positions 2612 to 2925 of the family's 2925-position model. Lineage: Bacteria; Bacillati; Bacillota; Clostridia; Lachnospirales; Lachnospiraceae. The record is from RNAcentral.